Molecule: transfer RNA, 73 nt
Filed under: Aerococcus mictus
Lineage: Bacteria; Bacillati; Bacillota; Bacilli; Lactobacillales; Aerococcaceae
Description: tRNA-Ala
Rfam family: tRNA
About the family: Transfer RNA (tRNA) molecules are approximately 80 nucleotides in length. Their secondary structure includes four short double-helical elements and three loops (D, anti-codon, and T loops). Further hydrogen bonds mediate the characteristic L-shaped molecular structure. tRNAs have two regions of fundamental functional importance: the anti-codon, which is responsible for specific mRNA codon recognition, and the 3' end, to which the tRNAs corresponding amino acid is attached (by aminoacyl-tRNA synthetases). tRNAs cope with the degeneracy of the genetic code in two manners: having more than one tRNA (with a specific anti-codon) for a particular amino acid; and 'wobble' base-pairing, i.e. permitting non-standard base-pairing at the 3rd anti-codon position.
Source: RNAcentral
GGGGGAUUAGCUCAGCUGGGAGAGCGCCUGCUUUGCAAGCAGGAGGUCAGCGGUUCGAUCUCGCUAUCCUCCA